This 1871-nucleotide long non-coding RNA is filed under the name Fragaria vesca (wild strawberry). Its description in RNAcentral is "long non-coding RNA (FVES_LNC004010)". The record is from RNAcentral. Lineage: Eukaryota; Viridiplantae; Streptophyta; Magnoliopsida; Rosales; Rosaceae.
UCCAUCAAGAGUCCAUGUAAAUCCGGAAUGAACACGCAAAGGCAUAAUUCACCAUAUCCCUUCCAAAUCAAGUAGAGUCCAUGUGCGUUUCAAUACAUUUAGCAAACGCAUGCUCCUAUGGUUUGGAGCCACUUGAUUCAGAUGAAUGAAGUCUGUUUAAGAUCUUCAUGUAUAUCUCCGAUCUCAUAGAGAUGUUAUUAUGACCACAUUCAUAGGCUGCAUGUUCAGUUAUUCGGAAACUACCAAACUAACAAAGUAGUGGAGUUCAAUGACAUCCAUUACGAGAGCAUAUCUCAUCGUAGUUGAUCCCAGUGCGUGUUAGUGAAAGACCUUGCGCCAUAAGGUGAGUCUAAGCUCUUACUCUCACUACGCUAUCUAACAAAGGCAUAGUUGAUAGGGUUUAGCUUGCGGUGUCGGCAUCACCUGCCCAAGGACCUAUCUCUUUGUUAAUGCUGGAUCGUAUCUUUCCAUUAGGCCAAUCAACUAAGUUGAUAUCCAUCAACGAAGGGUGGUUCGAUAGUAGACUCAUUAUCCCACGUCCUCAUGUACACUAGUGUAAUACUUGUAGAGAUCUCUAUAUGGAUUGGAUUUGACAUUGAGGCGUCCCCCAACGAUAAUCACAAUUCAGACUUCAUGAGACGGAUUUGAGUAUCACUGAUCAAUGGAUCAGGUUGUGCCAAGCUCGCUUUCUUCCUAGUGCGAGAAAGUAUCGAAUCUAAGGGCCUCCCUCCUUUUGGGGAGCCACACGGCCUUGUGACACUAAUUUUGCCACUAUAUGGCGUCACUAUAUCACCAUCCAUGGUGAUGGCGUCAAGACCAACACCUUUUGGUCGCGCCAUGUCCUCUUGAUGGGACAUCAAUCCUUGCAAAUAUAUUUGCAGCAUGUGAUCUCGUCACUUUAACACUUUAAGCAUUUGGGAUCAAGAUGAGACUUAGUGGGGACAAACCACGACAAUUCACGUCGUUCCACUUGAACACUUGUGUUCUUAUCUCCCCCUAACGGCGGGAAUAUUGUCUCAUCAAAGUGACAAUCCGCAAUUUAGCGGUGAAUGAGAUCGCCUGACAAGGUUCCUACAUAUGCGGAUUAUAGGUGGAGGUUCAUAUCCAACCUAAACUUAUUCAUCUCAAAUGACCCAUCAUUGUACGCAGUGACAAUGCGAUUUGGCACCUAGAAAUAACAUCUAGCCGAGCUCAAGGAUUGUAGAUCCGUUUCAAUCAUGCCGAGCUCAAGGAUUGCAAUUUCGUGUCAAUCCUGGUACACAAUCACGAGCUGUAGUACAACAAAAUUCAAUGAUGGUGGUUCAUAGAUGAAUAGUAAAGCUGCAUGCAAAUAUUGCAUAGCCCCAAGACGCAAUAGAAAGAGUGGUGCGCAUCAAUAAUGUUCGAGCGACAAGCUAAAGUUGCUUGGUCGUAGCCUCGGUGAGACCGUAUUGCUUGUGAACAUGGGGUACAGGACACUUCAACUUACAUCCUGAUGAACUUCUUUAAAGAAUGGGUAGUGAGCCCGUAGAAGUAUAAGCAAUAUAAGCAGUAUAAGCAGUAGAUAAUAGUGUAACACGUGACCAGUGUGUUAACACGUCAACCAACACCAUAAACCAUAAAAAGGUAUCCGCAAGUUGGUUAUAUCUAUCUACAUAGUUUGAUGUAAGAAUAGAAUGUUCACUUUUGUGUUAUUUAGCGUAGGAGGGUCUCACUCCUUAUUUAGCUAAAUAAUAGGCUUUCAAAACGAGCAAUGAGCAUUGCAGGGGGCCAAUGCGACAUAGAGGAAAGGCCGAUGCACCUCAAUUGCUUGAGGAAUUGACCGGACGACCUCUAGGAAGUUGGAGUCGUGUUCGGGUGACGUCAAUGUCCCCCGGGUCACCACCAUGCUU